ACGCACGCUGGCGGCGUGCUUAACCCAUGCCAGUCGAACGGAAAGGCCCUGCUUGCAGGGUACUCGAGUGGCGAACGGGUGAGUAACACGUGGGUGAUCUGCCCUGCACUUCGGGAUAAGCCUGGGAAACUGGGUCUAAUACCGGAUAGGAGCCAUUUUUAGUGUGAUGGUUGGAAAGUUUUUUCGGUGUAGGAUGAGCUCGCGGCCUAUCAGCUUGUUGGUGGGGUAAUGGCCUACCAAGGCGGCGACGGGUAGCCGGCCUGAGAGGGUGGACGGCCACAUUGGGACUGAGAUACGGCCCAGACUCCUACGGGAGGCAGCAGUGGGGAAUAUUGCACAAUGGGCGCAAGCCUGAUGCAGAGACGCCGCGGGGGGGAUGACGGCCUUCGGGUUGUAAACUCCUUUCGCUAGGGACGAAGCUUUUUGUGACGGUACCUAGAUAAGAAGCACCGGCUAACUACGUG
RNAcentral lists this ribosomal RNA (464 nucleotides) under uncultured bacterium. RNAcentral describes it as "partial 16S ribosomal RNA". It matches the Rfam family "Bacterial small subunit ribosomal RNA", at positions 29 to 507 of the family's 1533-position model. The record is from RNAcentral.